This 8026-nucleotide long non-coding RNA is filed under the name Brassica napus (rape). Its description in RNAcentral is "long non-coding RNA (BNAP_LNC003349)". Lineage: Eukaryota; Viridiplantae; Streptophyta; Magnoliopsida; Brassicales; Brassicaceae. The record is from RNAcentral.
UGUUCAUCGCCAAAGGAAUUAACACAAGCAGUCCCACCACAAGAAGCUGUCCUAACUUUGAAAGCUAUUGUCCUCAACGCUUCUCCCAUACACAUCAGCAAAGUUCUCAAUCCCUUGUCAGGUGUUGCUUCUCUCAAAAACUCUUCCUAUACACUCAAACUCAAUAAUUGAAUCAUCAACAAGAUUUUUAGAUAAAAGAAUUGAGUAAUGUUAUUGCUCUGGAGACUUACCAAGCUUUGACCAAUCUCACAUUUGGUCACAGUCGAACCACCAUUGUUCUUAGCCUUGGUGGCUUUCAAUUGCGAUCUUGGUGCUACUCUUAGUGACUCUCCGAAGAUUGAGCUAGACUUCAGACGCUGCUGAGAUCAAAUGUUAAGUACCCUUUUACAGUUAAGAACACAUUCGUUAUAAUGAAUCACACUCACUAGAACUAGAAGUGAACAUAUCACACGUGCGCGCUUUGCAUGUGUGCGUGUAGAGGAUACUACUAACCUUGAAGCUGGAUGAUGCGGAGAAGGAAUAAGGAGGAGAAACCAAUGUAGAUGAUCGUUGAGAAGAAACGCUUGGGAGGAUGAUCCCACGUGAGUAGCAUGUGACGCUGGUCUCCAUGGCUUAAUUAUGUUUCUGAAGUUUGAGGUUGAUAAAAGAAGAAGAGCUCUCUACAGAGGAUAAAGGUGGAAACAAAAGAUCAAACUCAAGUGGUGUGGUGUAUGUAGGAGAAGAUAAAGUGAUCAUUUAUUGUGUGGUUAUGGUCUUUUUAACGUAUUUUUCCAUUUUGAGAUGAUAUCAUCAACAUCAGUUACUCAAAAAUAAAUGUUUUUUUUUAUUGAAAAUUUUCAAAAAUAGUAUCAGAGCCAGGUUUCGAUCCUGGGACCUGUGGGUUAUGGGCCCACCACGCUUCCGCUGCGCCACUCUGAUUUAUUGAUAAUAACUACAAGAUUAAAAUAUAUAACAGACAACUAGAAGAUAUUGUAGAAAUGUUACUUUACAAUUCGUGUUAUACGACUUUAUAUAGUUUUCUAACAAGACCCAUUUAAGAUUAUAACAGGCCUGUUACUCUAGCUUUAAUGGCCCAAAAUAGAUUUCUUGUUCUCCAAGGAUUAGACGCACACCAAAAGAAUCUAAACCUAUUUUUUUUCCUCCUCGUCUCUUUCUUUCACAUGUUCUCAGAGAUAAGCUGAGAUGCAAUUCGUGAAGGCAAGAACGCAAGUGUUCUGAAACGGUUGUUUUCCAAAAGGAAUGUAUCAGAUUUUUUUAUAGAUAAUAACACAAAAAGACUUCAGGAGACAUCAAUGGAAACAUUAAUGGAUAGAUUACACACUUCACACACAAAGAUACCAAGAGAAAACAAACUGAAUCAGUCUGGCAUUAACUUCAAUUUAGACUAGAGAGAGGAGAUAAUUCUUGAGUUUAAGAUUCAGGAACCGCCGUUGCUGGUGUACCAGCGGCUACUGCGGCGGCUGCAGAGCGUUUGAUGGAAGCGGAUUUGAUCAAGUGGUUGUAGCUACCCUUUUCCUUGAAAGGCUGAGCGAAAUGGUGCUUGCAGUACAAGAUUCCUUCAAGAGCUGCGUAGUUUGAAGGCGAAAUAGGGCAGCCUCCAUGUGAGCACUUGAAGCAGGACUUGUGAUAUGUCUGGCUCUCCACUGUUACCUGCAGUUUUCCCAGAAAGAUGUUUGUCACCAACAAAAGAGCUUUCAAAACCUUUUCUCUUGUGUGCCAGAGAACAUGCCAGCAACUCGGCUAGGAGUCCUUGUCUGAGAACAAACGAAGAAGUUCAAUCUGAGUAAACGUAUCUAAAGAGAUUCUGUAGAAACCAGAUAAAAGAAACAUUUAUACCAGCUCAGGACUUGAUUUCUCAGCUGGUUUUGCAGCUGUAAGGAGAGAAAAGUUCCAAGAUUAAUAGGAAAGCCACAACAAGAAAGGCAAAGCUUAAAGUCUAGAUGGAAAGAAGCAGCAGGAACAAGGAGAAGAGGAAGUACAUACGUGACUGAAAGUUUUUGGUGAAGCUACCAGACUCCUUGAAGAGCUGCUCAUAAUGAGGCUUACAGUACAACACUCCUUCCAUCGAUGAAUAUCUACUCAGCUGUACAAAAAAUUCAUACUUUAUCAGGAUCACUAGAGAAACUUUGAAAUCAAACAGUUAAGAUACCUGAAGCCUGGAUUUGCAGUGGGUGCAUUUGAAGCAAGACUUGUGAUAGCUAACUCCAUCAGCAGAGAGAAGCUCCACAGGGUAGACAGUCUUCUCGCAAGCCUUGCACUUCUGCUGAGUUCCUGUGAAAGAAGACAUCCUUCCUUCAACCCCCUUUUGCCUUUGACCUUUCUUCUCCUUUAAAAUAUCAAAGUCAAGAAACAAUGAGGUUAAGUGAUCAGAUCAAAAAGCACUCAGAAUGAGAUUGUAAGAACAUCGAGAGAAAUAGAUGGAUCUAUUACCUCUCUCUGAGCUGAUAACGUCCAAGAUCUGACGAAAACUGCAAAAAAAAACAUACAGAAAAAGAAGAAGAAGAAGGCUUAACAAACUAGAGGAAGACUUGGGAGAUGCAUAAUGCCAAAAACUCAAGUUAGUAGAGAAGCUAUUACGUACUCUUGCGUCUAUUCACGAAAAUGGAGGAUCUGUGUGAGGAUCAAAGCGAUGAAGAUGAAGAAGAAGAAUAAAAAUGGGAGAUAUGGUUAAAUCUUCCUUUUAUGUUUUUCUUUUUUAGCUGGAGGAGACAAACAGUGGGGUUCCACUUUGGCUUGUCUGUUUUUUCUUUUGUAAUAACAGCAAAAUAUUUGAAGAUUAGAGAAUUCUCUGAAGAUUAUAUUUACAAUAAUAAAACAACAACGAAUGGAUGUUCUUAUCUUAUCUUACUGUAUCAUUUUACCAAAUAAAGGGAUAAUUGAUCUGUUUAAAUUUUUUAUUGAGAAAAAUACUAGUAUAGCACCAAACUAAGUUUUUGUUCCCAAAGUAGCACUCAAUGCUCAAAAUCAUAAAAAUAAGUUUUAUUAAAGAGGUAAAUAUACAUUUAUAUCCCUUGGGUUAAUUAAUCCAAACCUUAGGGUUUAGAGUUAAGGGGUAGGUUUUGGAAUUAGGGUUUAAAAUUUUAUAAAAAAUAAAUACUAAAACAAAAAUAAAAAUUUUUAAAACAGUUUCAAAAAGUAUUUUUAAAUUAUAAAAAGAAAAUUUGAAAAAAAAAUAAAAAAAGUUUCAAAAAAAAAUUAUAAAAAUUUCGAAUCUGAAAACAUAUAAUCUGAAAUUAUAAAAUAAAUUUUUUAUUUUUUUAUUUUAGUUAUUUUUAUUUAUUUUUAUUUAUUUAUUUAAUUUCAAACCAAGGGUAUCAGGGAUAUUUUACCCUUUAAUGAAUGUUAUUUUUGUGACUUUUUCUUUCUAGUGCUAUUUUUGACACAUAAACUUCAAAAGUUGCUAUUAUUGACAAUUGCUCUUUUUUAUUCUCCUCGAAUAUGCUAAAUAAAAAUAUCUAACAUAUCCAUUGCUGUCCACACCACCUAUUAUAGAUUCCUAAACAAAUAGAUAUGCGACGACAAGUAAAGCGUCUUUUGCAUAAUAAAUUGUUUUACUAUUGCAUGUCAUAAUCAGUAGAAUAAUAUAAUUAAAUAUCAUUAAAAGGUUUUGAUAUUCAUAGAAACUAUAUCACUGGAGUGCUAAGUGGAGAAAAUAAAUUGGCAACUCAUUUUUGUUUUGCAAUCCCAUCAAAUUAAUGUUUUAAUUCGUCUAGAGAUAAACAAAUCUGACAAAAAAAAAGUGAAAAAAGGAUUAAAACUAUUAGCUUCUGAGAAAUAUGAUAAUGGGAGCUUCCUUCUGAUGCUUGUGAAAUGAACUCCACGUCUUGAAUCUAGCCUCCUCCUGCAUCAGGAAAUCAAAUCAGGAUACGUGUUGACUCGGACAACACAUAAAACAAGAUCCUAGAAGAAUAAUACAUUACAUUACAGGGAUGAGUCUAAGACCUCACAACUACAAUAUCCAUCCUUUCAAUUGCUAAUACAAGUCAGGCCAAAACAGGCUAAUCUAAUUUGAGUUAAUAGACAAUAAUCAUUAAUAAUCCUUAACACUAAUGAGACUUAAAUUUUGGACAAAGCUACAAAGAUGGGUGCAUAUUAUUUACUCUUAUAUGUUGCUUGGGUACAUGAACACUCUGACUCUAGCUCCCUGAGAGUAACACAACAGAAAACAAAUGAUGAGUCACACACUUGAGCAUUUACAAAGAAAAAAAACAUCAUAUUAACGAAGAGAUGCGUUCCAAGGAAACGAAGUUACCAUUGACUUUGGUGGUAGGUUUGAAGUGAACUUGGCACGGACAACACCGCUGUUACCAUGAGGCCUAGCGACUUUGCCCCAGAUGCAACGGUAGUGAGAACCGUUCUUCUUUGUCUUCGCCUUGUAGAUAUAAGCCAUGCGCUUUCCCUUGUACCAAGUAACCUCCUCUGUUGUGUUCACUCCUUCGAUCUGGAUUAGAGAUGUGUUUGGGUACUGGUUCGACUUCGACCUGAAAAUGUACAUUAACAGUCACUAAUCAAGCUUAAGAUUAAGAUUGCUACUUAAGAUUUUCAAACACUUCUUGGUACGCAAGUAACUGCACCAGAAGCUCAAAAUGUAAUCAUUUCAAGAACCAUAAAUCAAGAACAAAAGACGCAAUCUUUCACACGGACAACUAGACUAAAACACAGAUAAAGACAGGAUCAAAGUUGUGCAAAAGUACCUCUUGUAACCGAGGACUGUUCCUCGAACAUACAAUCUGCAAAAACAGCAAACAAAUAAAGGUUUUGUCAGAUGAAUAAACCAUUAGUUACUCGAAUCGGAGAUUCAGAGAGAGAAGUCUGUUUAUGUUAGAACCGUUAGUUACCUAACUCUUUCUCCUUGGCGUCCUUUCAUUUUCGAUUCUGAUACUGUGUCUUCUUCUUCGUCUUUGACUCUUUUAUGCCGGCGAGUGAAGUACAGAGAAGAGCCCUAGCUAGCUUUCGAUAUUAGGUUAAACAAUAUAUAUGUGGAUUCAUAAAUAAGCCCAUUAUGAAUCCCUAUUAGGCCUACAUUUGGCCCAGGCACUUACAGUUAACAAGUAAAUGAACCGGAGAAAACCAUAUAAGACAGAGUUUUCAACAAUUUAAAGUCAUCAUUUCAAAUUUUAAACACGAGAAUUCAAGAUCAAUCUAAAUUUUGAAUUGAUUUACACUAAAUCCGUUUUUAUCACUUUUCUUUUUUUUUAAAAAAAAUCAGUGAUAAUGAACUUGUUAUUUUAAAAUGUAUUUUUUAUCAAAAGUAUUUAAGGAAUUAGAUUCUUAAGUUUAAGAGAUGUUCAUUGUGGUUUAUGGUGUUUAAUAUAUAACUAGAUUUUGACCCGCGCUUUCAAAGCGCGGGUUUAUUUUUGUUUUUUUUUCAAUUGACAAAUAUUUAGUAAAUGUCACAUUUUCAUAUAUUUGUGUUUUAUUUUAUAAAAGACUUAAAAAUUUUAUUUUUAUUUAUCGUAUUUCAUUUUAAAUGACUAUUUAUGUUAAAAAAAUUAAACUUUAUUUUUUUAAUGAAUUAAGUUGGUAUAACUCUGAUAAAUUAAUUUUAUUAUGGGGUUAAUAUUUUAAUUAAAAAAUUAUAUACUUUUAAUAAAGAUUUAUACUUUUCAAUAAAAAAAUUCAAUUAUUUUUAUGAAUGCUUAAAUUAUAUUAAGAAAAGAAAAAAAUAAUAAUUAAGAAUAGUUGAAAAAAAAUUAUUUGAACUUGGACUCAAUGGUCCAAAGGAAAAAAAAAGGUGAGAAUUGAAUCUGAUUUUUUAAUAGGCCCAAAUGGCACAAAGGAGAUUUGAUUUGGGCUGGAUCCAAAAAUAAUGACCCAAUAUAGAUUUGUUAUUAAUAUUACUUAAUUGCCCUUAAUGAAACAUGCAAUGUUAGUGAAGGAAACAUGCCCCUAAGGUAAUUAUGACAAUAGGAUCCUGAUUUAAUAGUAUAGAUUAUAAUAAUUUCUCUAAUUGACUUAAGAUGGUUUAAAGUAGGUUCUAAAAAUCAGUCUAGGCGGCGCCUAGGUUGCAACUCGAUCUUAGCCAAAACGAUUUUUCUAUAAUCCUAUUCAUACGAUUCAAAUUGGUUUAAAAUGCUAUAAAUAGAUUAAAAUCUGUUUAAAUCAGAUCUAAACUAGUCUAAAUAUGUUAAAAGUAAUCGUGUUAGUAUAAAUCCACAAAUUUGUCUGAUUUAUUUUGUUUUGGAUAUAUCACAAUAUUUUAUAAUUAAACUUAAAAAUAAAAAUAUUUCAUACAAACAUAAAAAAUAUAAAAAAUAAAUUAAUAAUUUGUUUACAACUAGGCUUUGUCUAGGCCCCGAAUUAUCUGCCAAGUCGAUAGUUUUCUAUAAAGCACCUAGUUGCCGUCUAGCGAUUUCUUGAACAACUUUAAACUCAGUUAAAUCGCUUCAAUUCUUUUCACAUACUAGAAGUCUAGAAUACAUAUUCAAUGUUGUUUUGUUAAUUAAACUAAAAUUGUCAAACCAAACCGGAAACGGUUAUAAGUCUUUUUGAUUUGUAAGCGAAGUACAAGUAACAAUAAAAUGGAUUACAGUUGUUUCGCUAUAAGGAGAUUACAACAUAAACAAUGUCGUAGACGACAAAGAUAUAGCACUUUUCAGACAUCAGCAAAAACAUGGAAGUUCUUGGAGUCAACAGCAAUGAGUCUAACAGCAGCAAUUGCAGCAGCAAGAGACAUUAACCCAAAGAAGCAAACGUUAAGCCAAUGCCAUAGCUUUUGAACAGGACUAAGCUUAUCGUUCAUAGCUACGACAUACAUGUGAUUUGCUAAUAUGAACGUGAGAGGGAAAGUGCUUAUAGCUCCCGUGAGGCUCAUGAAAUCUCCAAGAAACGGUAAAAGCGCUGAGAGAAGAGUGCUCACCGCGAUGUAGCUUCCUCGCGCUACUGUUCUAAACAACAGAUUCUUCAGUGCUAAUGGACUUCCUUUGAUUCCAUACUUUGUGUCCAUAAACUCAUACGUCGGACUAGGUAAUGCAUGUUUUAUCCGGCUGUACCUAGAAGAACUAGCUUGCCAGAGAAGAACAAACCUGGUUAACGUCAGGAACCAUUCCUCCUGUAUAUCUCAAUGUGUACUUCUCUUUCACGUAGUAAUCAAUCAGCUGAUUUUAACAGUGAAUAAGAAAAACAUUCAAAGAUUUGUAUAGAAUAGUGAUUAGAUUAAAGCAGAACAAAAGCAAGAACCUUGCUGUAUUCAGAAUUGUCAAACGUGGCUCUCAAGUUUCCUGGUGAGAACAUUUUCCCUUCAUUAAUCUCUGUGGUCUCCUUAACAUGCUGCCAUUUACCUGAGAAACAUUUUGACCUUAAGUCUAAAACUACCAGAGAGUGAAUCUUGGUUGGACCAAAAGCAGAGGAGUACCUUCAUCAAGAAGCAAGAACUCAUGAGUUCCUGGAAACCCUUUAACAGCCAAAACAUAAGUGGUUCUUGGACCAUAGAUUCCCAUGGCUGCAGCCACUUGAUCUCCUCCCGUGACUCCGGUUAACUUAUCACCAGGCCAAACCCCAAAUAUGGUUCCCACAGUGAAGUUUGUAUCCACAAUGCUGGAUCCAUCCAAUGGAUCAAAUGCCACACUAAACCCACCUUCCACUGGACCUCCCAUGUCUUGAAGCUCAGGUACUUCUUCAGAGCAAGCGUAUUUACACACAUGCGAGUAUUGCAAAGCCUAGAAAAACAAAAACAAAAAAAAAAAUAUUAAUCAAACCCUAAUGAUCCUUGUGACAUAAGUUACUCAAAAUAUAAAGAAAACAACCUCAAAGAGAAGCUUAUCGGCGAGCAUAUCGACAGCGAGUUGUUCAUCGCCAAAGGAAUUAACACAAGCAGUCCCACCACAAGAAGCUGUCCUAACUUUGAAAGCUAUUGUCCUCAACGCUUCUCCCAUACACAUCAGCAAAGUUCUCAAUCCCUUGUCAGGUGUUGCUUCUCUCAAAAACUCUUCCUAUACACUCAAACUCAAUAAUUGAAUCAUCAACAAGAUUUUUAGAUAAAAGAAUUGAGUAAUGUUAUUGCUCUGGAGACUUACCAAGCUUUGAC